UCCAAUGGUGGGCUGUUUGAGGGGAUCGCAAGAUCCGCUGUUUCCUUUAGAGCAGUACGCCAACCUUGAACAGUUCACCACCAAC
Molecule: non-coding RNA, 85 nt
Filed under: Pasteurellaceae bacterium 15-036681
Lineage: Bacteria; Pseudomonadati; Pseudomonadota; Gammaproteobacteria; Pasteurellales; Pasteurellaceae
Source: RNAcentral